GUGUUGGUAGCUCAUUGGUAGAGUGCAUGAUUUGAAUGUAUGAUGUUCCGGGAUCAAUCCCCAGCUUCUUCC
This is a non-coding RNA of Dallia pectoralis (Alaska blackfish), 72 nucleotides long. The record is from the annotation of a GenBank genome assembly. Lineage: Eukaryota; Metazoa; Chordata; Actinopteri; Esociformes; Umbridae.